RNAcentral lists this transfer RNA (70 nucleotides) under Marmota monax (woodchuck). RNAcentral describes it as "tRNA.Gly". The stretch from base 5 to 65 matches the Rfam family "tRNA", at positions 6 to 65 of the family's 71-position model. Rfam says of the family: Transfer RNA (tRNA) molecules are approximately 80 nucleotides in length. Their secondary structure includes four short double-helical elements and three loops (D, anti-codon, and T loops). Lineage: Eukaryota; Metazoa; Chordata; Mammalia; Rodentia; Sciuridae. The record is from RNAcentral.
GGGUUGGAGCUCAGUGGUAGAGUACUUGCCUCCCAAGCAUGAGACCCUGAGUUCGAUCCUCAGCAUCACA